UUGCACUGUCUUUGAACCUUGGCGGCCCCACUAAUGGCUUCCCAGGCCAAGCUACAGUGCUAAAGCAGCUUCAGGCUUGUUCAUAACUGGGGCCUCCUGGUAAAACCUCCCAGGUAGCUCUUUUAAAAGCAAGUCACAUGC
Molecule: small nucleolar RNA, 141 nt
Organism: Lampris incognitus (smalleye Pacific opah)
Lineage: Eukaryota; Metazoa; Chordata; Actinopteri; Lampriformes; Lampridae
Source: RefSeq, a predicted model, not a curated record